Molecule: ribosomal RNA, 253 nt
Filed under: uncultured bacterium
Lineage: Bacteria
Description: partial 16S ribosomal RNA
Rfam family: Bacterial small subunit ribosomal RNA
Source: RNAcentral
UACGUAGGGUGCGAGCGUUGUCCGGAAUUAUUGGGCGUAAAGAGCUUGUAGGCGGUUUGUCGCGUCUGCUGUGAAAAUCCGGGGCUCAACCCCGGACUUGCAGUGGGUACGGGCAGACUAGAGUGUGGUAGGGGGGACUGGAAUUCCUGGUGUAGCGGUGAAAUGCGCAGAUAUCAGGAGGAACACCGAUGGCGAAGGCAGGUCUCUGGGCCACUACUGACGCUGAGAAGCGAAAGCAUGGGGAGCGAACAGG